GGAUUGGUGCCUUCGGGAACUGUGAGACAGGUGCUGCAUGGCUGUCGUCAGCUCGUGUUGUGAAAUGUUGGGUUAAGUCCCGCAACGAGCGCAACCCUUAUCCUUUGUUGCCAGCGGUUCGGCCGGGAACUCAAAGGAGACUGCCAGUGAUAAACUGGAGGAAGGUGGGGAUGACGUCAAGUCAUCAUGGCCCUUACGACCAGGGCUACACACGUGCUACAAUGGCAUAUACAAAGA
RNAcentral lists this ribosomal RNA (237 nucleotides) under Klebsiella pneumoniae. RNAcentral's name for it is "partial 16S ribosomal RNA". It matches the Rfam family "Bacterial small subunit ribosomal RNA", at positions 1008 to 1245 of the family's 1533-position model. Lineage: Bacteria; Pseudomonadati; Pseudomonadota; Gammaproteobacteria; Enterobacterales; Enterobacteriaceae. The record is from RNAcentral.